CUCUGGGCGUUGCUGCGAGCCGUCAGCAGCUCCAAGAUGGCAUCCUCAUCGGUCCCUAUGGCAACAAGGACCAUGGUUACUCAGCCAAGCUGUAGACCCCGGCUGUCCCCGUUCACCUGGCUGAUGCCCCUGAACUUUUCGUGCCAGGUUAAAGCGGCUUCGGUGAUGUGAGGGACUUACCGCAGAGCUGCAGCUGACAGAUGAAGCUCGGUGAGCAGACAGAGAGACCCGGCAGAAAGUGAAGAGAGGAAGAAGAAGGAGGACGGAGAGAGAAAACCCACUCGGAAAAA
Lates calcarifer (barramundi perch) is the source of this 290-nucleotide long non-coding RNA. RefSeq lists it as uncharacterized. NCBI's taxonomy places the organism in Eukaryota, Metazoa, Chordata, Actinopteri, Centropomidae. The record is from RefSeq and is a predicted model, not a curated record. The transcript has 2 exons.